Molecule: small RNA, 78 nt
Filed under: Flavobacterium araucananum
Lineage: Bacteria; Pseudomonadati; Bacteroidota; Flavobacteriia; Flavobacteriales; Flavobacteriaceae
Description: Flavo-1 RNA
Rfam family: Flavo-1 RNA
Source: RNAcentral
UUUUAGCCCUGAUGGGAGUGAUAUCCUUUUUCUUGCUCCUUUAGCAAGGAAAAGAUAUAACGGACAGCAGGAAUUGCU